CUUACGCGUGGCAGCAGUGAGGAAUAUUGGUCAAUGGCCGUAAGGCUGAACCAGCCAAGUCGCGUGAAGGAAGAAGGAUCUAUGGUUUGUAAACUUCUUUUAUAGGGGAAUAAAGGUAUCCACGUGUGGGUAUUUGCAUGUACCCUAUUAAUAAGCAUCGGCUAACUACGUGCCAGCAGCCGCGGUAUUACGGAGGUUGCGGGCGUUAUCCGGAUUUAUUGGGUUUAAAGGGUGCGUAGGUUGUUUGUUAGGUCAUCGGUGAAAGGUUGUGGCUCAACCAUAAAAUUGACGUGGAAACUGGAAGACUUGAGUGUGUUUGAGGUAGGCGGAAUGCGUGGUGUAACGGUGAAAUGCAUAGAUAUCACGCAGAACUCCGAUUGCGAAGGCAGCUUACUAAGCCAUAACUGACACUGAAGAACGAAAGCGUGGGGAUCAAACAGGAUUAGAUACCCGUGUAGUC
This 460-nucleotide ribosomal RNA is filed under the name uncultured bacterium. RNAcentral describes it as "partial 16S ribosomal RNA". It matches the Rfam family "Bacterial small subunit ribosomal RNA", at positions 338 to 795 of the family's 1533-position model. The record is from RNAcentral.